This 2478-nucleotide small RNA is filed under the name Pan troglodytes (chimpanzee). RNAcentral describes it as "retained intron". Lineage: Eukaryota; Metazoa; Chordata; Mammalia; Primates; Hominidae. The record is from RNAcentral.
GAAACAGCUAUCGAUUCUUUUUUAUUUUUUAAUGAUACAGAAAAUUGUUUAUAUUAAUUUUGUUUGCUUACUUCUGCAUUUAUAUUUUGUUCCACUAGUCCUCAGACUUCUUCAGUGAACAAUUUUUUUUUUUUCCAAAAUUAAGAUAAGGUCUUUGUUUGGAGCUAUGUACCACAUCCUUUCAUGUGUUCUUCUGAAUUAUAUUUAAUCUUUGAUAAUGAGUGAAAAGCACAGACAUUCCUGGAGUAAGACAUCUAUGUGUUCUCUACUAGAUGAUCCUACCAGACAAUAUGAAGGACCAUUACAUCACUAUCGACCACAGCAGGAAUCACCAUCUCCCCAACAACAGCUGCCCCCUUCUUCACAGGCAGAGGGAAUGGGGCAAGUGCCCAGGACCCAUCGGCUGAUCACACUUGCUGAUCACAUCUGUCAAAUUAUCACACAAGAUUUUGCUAGAAAUCAAGUUCCCUCGCAGACUCCCCAGCAGCCUCCUACUUCUACAUUCCAGAACUCACCUUCUGCUUUGGUAUCUACACCUGUGAGGACUAAAACAUCAAACCGUUACAGCCCAGAAUCCCAGGCUCAGUCUGUCCAUCAUCAAAGACCAGGUUCAAGGGUCUCUCCAGAAAAUCUUGUGGACAAAUCCAGGGGAAGUAGGCCUGGAAAAUCCCCAGAGAGGAGUCACGUCUCUUCGGAGCCCUACGAGCCCAUCUCCCCACCCCAGGUUCCGGUUGUGCAUGAGAAACAGGACAGCUUGCUGCUCUUGUCUCAGAGGGGCGCAGAGCCUGCAGAGCAGAGGAAUGAUGCCCGCUCACCAGGGAGUAUAAGCUACUUGCCUUCAUUCUUCACCAAGCUUGAAAAUACAUCACCCAUGGUUAAAUCAAAGAAGCAGGAGAUUUUUCGUAAGUUGAACUCCUCUGGUGGAGGUGACUCUGAUAUGGCAGCUGCUCAGCCAGGAACUGAGAUCUUUAAUCUGCCAGCAGUUACUACGUCAGGCUCAGUUAGCUCUAGAGGCCAUUCUUUUGCUGAUCCUGCCAGUAAUCUUGGGCUGGAAGACAUUAUCAGGAAGGCUCUCAUGGGAAGCUUUGAUGACAAAGUUGAGGAUCAUGGAGUUGUCAUGUCCCAGCCUAUGGGAGUAGUGCCUGGUACUGCCAACACCUCAGUUGUGACCAGUGGUGAGACACGAAGAGAGGAAGGGGACCCAUCACCUCAUUCAGGAGUUUGCAAACCAAAGCUGAUCAGCAAGUCAAACAGCAGGAAAUCUAAGUCUCCUAUACCUGGGCAAGGCUACUUAGGAACCGAACGGCCCUCUUCAGUCUCCUCUGUACAUUCAGAAGGGGAUUACCAUAGGCAGACGCCAGGGUGGGCCUGGGAAGACAGGCCCUCUUCAACAGGCUCAACUCAGUUUCCUUAUAACCCUCUGACUAUGCGGAUGCUCAGCAGUACUCCACCAACACCGAUUGCAUGUGCUCCCUCUGCUGUGAACCAAGCAGCUCCUCACCAACAGAACAGGAUCUGGGAGCGAGAGCCUGCCCCACUGCUCUCAGCACAGUACGAGACCCUGUCGGAUAGUGAUGACUGAACUGCACAAAGUGAGGGGAACAGGGUGCAGGAGAGGGAUCUCUAGUUUUUGUGGUUUAAUUUUUAGUAGCAGGUCAAAAACCUGCCCUCCUGUGACUUAUUCCCUGAGACUUUUCAGGAGAGCCAGCCCACAGAUGAUGAAGAAAUGAUGGAAAUUCAUUUGGAGAGUCAAAUGGGAAAAAAACAAACAAAAAACUGCCUUUGAUACAGGCAAUUCAGUGGACUAUAAUAAUAGUGGAGGGUUGAGAUGUAGAGUUUUUAAAAAGUGAACAGUUGCUGUUCUUACAUCUGUAAAGAAAACCAUAAUGUCUUUAAAUCACUCUUCUGUAAAUAGAUGACCUUUCUGCAGUGUAUAUCCCCUUGCUGUAGUAUCUGGUGUACUUAUGUUCAAAUCAGCGCAUCAACUUUGGGGGUGAUUUUUAAAAAUCUUUUUGUCUAUCUAUCUUUUUAACCUAACCCUAGCCUUCUAAACAACCUCAUACAGCCCAGUUACAUAAUGUUGGCUGUCACGGGCAUUGUACUUUUAUCUGAUAUUGUUUCCUCUAAAUUCAGCUUUCCAGUGAUGUUUAAAAUCUUGUGAAAAUGUUUAGAUUUUUAACACAGACCCUGUCAUAAAAUCUGUACAUUAGGGUCAAAAGGUAAAAGUAACAAAUUCUGCCAUAUUGUAAAUUUCCAGUGCAGGCUUUAAUUUUUUUUUUCAUUAGUAGCACUGAAAAAAUAUUACUGCAUGGGUAUGUUCUAGUUCAGUUUAUAAAGUUUUAAAGGCUUAUUUGAGGCAUACCUCACUGUUACGCACACUGGUAAUUUAACCAUGCCCCUAAGUAUUCCUUUUCUCCUGCAUUUGAUGCAGCCCAACAAAGCUUUUGUUUUGAAAUAAAUUUGACUACCCUGUCCAUA